GCAAACUUGGUCAUUUAGAGGAAGUAAAAGUCGUAACAAGGUUUCCGUAGGUGAACCUGCGGAAGGAUCAUUACCGUGGUGGGCGGCCCUUUGGGGCAUGUCCCGCCCGAGAUAGAACCCUUGCUUCUGAGUACCGUUUCGUUUCCUCGGCAGGCUCGCCUGCCAACGGGGACCCAAAUCAAACCUUUUCGUAAUGCAGUAACCGUCUUAAAACAAAUAAAUCAAAACUUUCAACAACGGAUCUCUUGGUUCUGGCAUCGAUGAAGAACGCAGC
Molecule: unclassified non-coding RNA, 274 nt
Filed under: uncultured fungus
Lineage: Eukaryota; Fungi
Description: partial contains small subunit ribosomal RNA, internal transcribed spacer 1, and 5.8S ribosomal RNA
Rfam family: Eukaryotic small subunit ribosomal RNA (bases 1-73)
Source: RNAcentral